RNAcentral lists this ribosomal RNA (200 nucleotides) under uncultured bacterium. RNAcentral describes it as "partial 16S ribosomal RNA". It matches the Rfam family "Bacterial small subunit ribosomal RNA", at positions 28 to 232 of the family's 1533-position model. The record is from RNAcentral.
GACGAACGCUGGCGGCGUGCUUAACACAUGCAAGUCGAGCGGAAAGGCCCUUCGGGGUACUCGAGCGGCGAACGGGUGAGUAACACGUGAGCAAUCUGCCCUUAGCUUCGGGAUAGCUCCGGGAAACUGGAAUUAAUACCGGAUAUGACUUCGGCCGACAUCGGCUGUGGUGGAAAGAUUUAUCGGCUAGGGAUGAGCAC